GCGAGUGGCGAACGGGUGAGUAAUGUAUCGGAACGUACCUUUCAGUGGGGGAUAACGUAGCGAAAGUUACGCUAAUACCGCAUAUUCUGUGAGCAGGAAAGCAGGGGAUCGCAAGACCUUGCGCUGAUUGAGCGGCCGAUAUCAGAUUAGCUAGUUGGUGAGGUAAAGGCUCACCAAGGCGACGAUCUGUAGCGGGUCUGAGAGGAUCAUCCGCCACACUGGAACUGAGACACGGUCCAGACUCCUGCGGGAGGCAGCAGUGGGGAAUUUUGGACAAUGGGGGCAACCCUGAUCCAGCCAUGCCGCGUGAGUGAAGAAGGCCUUCGGGUUGUAAAGCUCUUUCGGCCGGGAAGAAAUCGCAUGGGUUAAUACCCUGUGCGGAUGACGGUACCGGCAUAAGAAGCACCGGCUAACUACGUGCCAGCAGCCGCGGUAAUACGUAGGGUGCGAGCGUUAAUCGGAAUUACUGGGCGUAAAGCGUGCGCAGGCGGUUUUGUAAGACAGGCGUGAAAUCCCCGGGCUCAACCUGGGAACUGCGCUUGUGACUGCAAGGCUAGAGUAUGGCAGAGGGGGGUGGAAUUCCACGUGUAGCAGUGAAAUGCGUAGAGAUGUGGAGGAACACCAAUGGCGAAGGCAGCCCCCUGGGCCAAUACUGACGCUCAUGCACGAAAGCGUGGGUAGCAAACAGGAUUAGAUACCCUGGUAGUCCACGCCCUAAACGAUGUCAACUAGGUGUUGGGUGGGUAAAACCAUUUAGUACCGGAGCUAGCGCGUGAAGUUGACCGCCUGGGGAGUACGGCCGCAAGGUUAAAACUCAAAGGAAUUGACGGGGACCCGCACAAGCGGUGGAUGAUGUGGAUUAAUUCGAUGCAACGCGAAAAACCUUACCUACCCUUGACAUGUCCAGGAGCCUGAAGAGAUUUGGGUGUGCCCGAAAGGGAACUGGAACACAGGUGCUGCAUGGCUGUCGUCAGCUCGUGUCGUGAGAUGUUGGGUUAAGUCCCGCAACGAGCGCAACCCUUGUCGUUAAUUGCCAUCAUUCAGUUGGGCACUUUAACGAGACUGCCGGUGACAAACCGGAGGAAGGUGGGGAUGACGUCAAGUCCUCAUGGCCCUUAUGGGUAGGGCUUCACACGUCAUACAAUGGUCGGUACAAAGGGUUGCCAAGCCGCGAGGUGGAGCCAAUCCCAGAAAGCCGAUCGUAGUCCGGAUCGCAGGCUGCAACUCGCCUGCGUGAAGUCGGAAUCGCUAGUAAUCGUGGAUCAGCAUGUCACGGUGAAUACGUUCCCGGGUCUUGUACACACCGCCCGUCACACCAUGGGAGCGGGUUCCGCCAGAAGUAGGUAGCCUAACCGCAAGGAGGGCGCUUACCACGGCGGGGUUCGUGACUGGGGUGAAGUCGAAACAAGGUA
RNAcentral lists this ribosomal RNA (1412 nucleotides) under metagenome. RNAcentral describes it as "bacterial SSU rRNA". It matches the Rfam family "Bacterial small subunit ribosomal RNA". The record is from RNAcentral.